RNAcentral lists this long non-coding RNA (741 nucleotides) under Elaeis guineensis (African oil palm). RNAcentral's name for it is "long non-coding RNA (EGUI_LNC082410)". The record is from RNAcentral. Lineage: Eukaryota; Viridiplantae; Streptophyta; Magnoliopsida; Arecales; Arecaceae.
ACAGCGACAUCUAUAACCAUCUGGUAGUGGGCCGUUCAGAGCCGUGCGGAGUUUGUUACAGAGAGUAGUGGCGUCAGAGGUCGUUCAGGGCCACGUGGAGCUUGUUGCGGAGAGUGGAGUGGUGUUCGUUGUCAUGACUUGCCAGAGAGUGGUGGAGCUGCAUGGAAUCCAUUGCAGAGAGUGGAGCAGGGUGGCGGUACUUGUCGUGGCUUGUCAGAGAGUGGUGAAGCCACGUGGAAUCUGUUGCAGCGAAUGGAGUAAGGUAGUGGCCCUUGUCGUGGCUUGCCAAAGAGCUUGGAUCCGUCAGCUGAAGCUCGGUUGGGAUGCUUGAUGGAGCAGAAUGGCCCUUUACAUCAUCGCUCUAAGAGAGGCUCGGGUGUUUCGAGGUCACUGAUGAAUCUACUAUUGUCGGACUUCGGGCACUGACAUCUCAGGCGGGAGUCACCUACUGUAGGAGUUCAGAUUGAGAUUUUCUGUUGGUGAAGUCCGGGAAAGUCCGAUCGCUAGAGAAGUCUGUUUGAGACUUAUUUGAUGUGGAAGCUCAUCCGAAGAUCGCCCGUCGGUGAAGUUCGAUUUUAUAGGAAGCCUGGUAGGAGGUCGGCUGGCGAUGGACUUCGGAUAGCGCUGGGGAGGCUUGGCAGACAUCGGAGGCAAUUGGCUAUCGCAGGGACCCAGCUGCUGGAGCUCGUCUGGAACCCAUCCGUCGGAGAAGUAGCUCGACUGAAGUCUACAGUAGAUGUC